AAAAAAAAAAAAAAAAAAAAUUGUGGGAGAACUGGGGUUUCAUUUUAUCAACCCUUUAUAUUCCAUUAUUGAUUGAACAAGCAAAUUAGGUUGUGAGCUUGGUUUGUAUUGUGGCUUUUUAAUCUUCAGCUUCACUGAGAUUUGUUGGUUUUUCAUUUUUCUUCUUGUUGCUCUAACAGUGGCAAUGAAUGUUGAAUUCUUGAAUUUCACUGGAGCACUUAGUAGGCACUGGACAGGGAAAAGAUAUGACAUCAACAGGACCAGCGCCGCCAUCUCUUCUGAAGAGACGAGAAUCUACUGUGACACGAGAAGGAGACCAGCUUAUGAUCACCCCUUUGGGGGCCGGGAAUGAAGUUGGGCGGACCUGCGUGUACAUGUCUUUCAAAGGAAAAACUGUUUUGUUUGACUGUGGAAUUCAUCCUGCUUAUUCGGGCAUGGCUGCUCUUCCAUACUUUGAUGAGAUUGAUCCCUCGACCAUUGACGUGCUCCUUGUGACCCAGU
This is a long non-coding RNA of Macadamia integrifolia, 501 nucleotides long. RefSeq lists it as uncharacterized. The record is from RefSeq and is a predicted model, not a curated record. The transcript has 3 exons. NCBI's taxonomy places the organism in Eukaryota, Viridiplantae, Streptophyta, Magnoliopsida, Proteales, Proteaceae.